ACUCCUACGGGAGGCAGCAGUGAGGAAUAUUGGGCAAUGGACGAGAGUCUGACCCAGCCAUCCCGCGUGUAGGAAGACGGCCUUAUGGGUUGUAAACUACUUUUAUACAGGAAGAAACGUACCCUCGUGAGGGUGCCUGACGGUACUGUAGGAAUAAGCACCGGCUAACUCCGUGCCAGCAGCCGCGGUAAUACGGAGGGGUGCGAGCGUUAUCCGGAUUUAUUGGGGUUUAAAGGGGUCCGUAGGCGGAUUAAUAAGUCAGUGGUGAAAUCCCAUCGCUUAACGAUGGAACUGCCAUUGAUACUGUUAGUCUUGAAUGAGGGUGCAGUGGUUGGAAUGUGUAGUGUAGCGGUGAAAUGCAUAGAUAUUACACAGAACACCGAUUGCGAAGGCAGAUCACUAACCCUAAAUUGACGCUGAGGGACGAAAGCGUGGGGAGCGAACAGGAUUAGAUACCCUGGUAGGAUAGCG
This 471-nucleotide ribosomal RNA is filed under the name uncultured bacterium. Its description in RNAcentral is "bacterial SSU rRNA". It matches the Rfam family "Bacterial small subunit ribosomal RNA", at positions 335 to 799 of the family's 1533-position model. The record is from RNAcentral.